This 1522-nucleotide long non-coding RNA is filed under the name Elaeis guineensis (African oil palm). Its description in RNAcentral is "long non-coding RNA (EGUI_LNC062474)". Lineage: Eukaryota; Viridiplantae; Streptophyta; Magnoliopsida; Arecales; Arecaceae. The record is from RNAcentral.
CAAUUGGCUUGUAAGAUAUUAUUUUUUUAAAUGUGUUUUUGAAUCAUCCAUAGAAUUAACAUUUCGAUACAUAUUCUCAAAGUGUUGAGAAUUAAAGAUAUAUAUAUAAUUUCUAAAUGCUCCUGAUCAUAAUAUCAUCAUGAAGAUAAUGAUCGAUUCGGAUAGAUCGAUGUACAAAUCGGAGAUAGAUGAGUCUCUGAUCUACAGUGUAAAAAUUUGAGUGAUGAGUACGGAUAGUUGUUAAAAAAUAACUAAUACUGAAUGUGACCAUACAAGAGAUCACUUGAAUUUUUACUCAAUCAUCAGUGAUUAUCUCGAUGCUGUAGUUGUAUGAAUGAUCUUUUGAUCUAUGAUGGUAUGACUACUCAUAGUAAAGCUAUUGAAGUUUGACUGACACAUAAACAUGGUCUCAAUGAAUCCUUAUGUGGAUAUUGACAACAAUUGAUCCACUAUAGGAGUAGGAUGUACAUCUAGAUGAAAUUUAUCGAUCUUGAUAGAGAGGAGUAGUUCUAUGAAAUUUAGAGGCUAUGUCUAAGAGUUUGUAGCUAUAGUAGUGUGAUUGAUAAAAAAGAGUUUCCAUAAGGAUCGUAAUUAGAUUUGAGCUGAUCGAAUCUAUCAUAUGAGGAUGAUGAGAUUUGACGAUUUAUCCAUAAUCUACCAUCUAAUCGGGACUCACGAUAGAGGGACUAAAUCAUAUGUUAACUACAUCUUGAGGUUCUUUUUUAAUUUUACUAGGUUGCCACUACAUACUGCUAGGUAUCACUGGUGGAUUGUGAGAGCUGACUAGAGUUGCUCAAGAUCAACAAUCCUUGAUGAGUUAGAGUGAAAUUAUUCUGAUCCAUUGAAAGGAGUUUCAAUAAUACUAUGAUAAAGAUCAUUGUAUAUCUCACUAUCAGAUAAAAUUAAAUCUAUAGGGUCACACAGCAAAGAAAUUGGAUUCGAAAUAAGUAAUUAGACUUAUGAAGUCUCAAUUGGAUUUAGAGAAAUCUUAUUGGGUUCAAGAUAAUCUUGCUAGCACAUGUUUGGACUCAAUUUUUUUUUACAUUUAAAUUUUUAUUUGAUAAGAUUAAUUUAAAUUAAUUACCUGCUAAUAACCUAAAUGAAUCAAAUUCAUUAGGCUCUAAUUGUUGGAUGCCUAGAGUUUUGGAUUAAAUGAAUUAAGGAUUCAAAUCCUUAAUCAAUUUUCUUGAUAAUUUUGAUUGAGCACCACCUGAUUUGAUCAAGUUGGACAUGCACACACUAAAGAGGGCGUGUGGACUUGAUUGGGGCAUCCCAUGGCAACCAUGUGGUGUGUGUAUCUAUAGGUGCAAGGGCUCCAAAAGUUAACGCCUAAACAAUCUCCUAAAGGAGGUCAAAUAACUAAAGGAAUAAAGAUUCCUAAUACAAGUAGGACUUGUAUUAAGUGGUAGUUUGAUUUUGAAUAGGAUUCAAACCUUAUGCCUAAUUAAAGGAGCCUUCCCUAAGGCUCCUUAGCACUGAAUUCCAAUAACCCAUGCCUCCUUUAGAAGCUCCCCACACCCCC